ACCUCUUAUAGCUCAGCUGGAAGAGCGUGGGACUGUAAUUGAAAGUUGUUAUCCCAAGGUCCGCGGUUCGAUCCCGCGUGAGAGGAU
RNAcentral lists this transfer RNA (87 nucleotides) under Penicillium salamii. RNAcentral's name for it is "tRNA-Tyr". It matches the Rfam family "tRNA". From Rfam's summary of the family: Transfer RNA (tRNA) molecules are approximately 80 nucleotides in length. Their secondary structure includes four short double-helical elements and three loops (D, anti-codon, and T loops). Further hydrogen bonds mediate the characteristic L-shaped molecular structure. tRNAs have two regions of fundamental functional importance: the anti-codon, which is responsible for specific mRNA codon recognition, and the 3' end, to which the tRNAs corresponding amino acid is attached (by aminoacyl-tRNA synthetases). tRNAs cope with the degeneracy of the genetic code in two manners: having more than one tRNA (with a specific anti-codon) for a particular amino acid; and 'wobble' base-pairing, i.e. permitting non-standard base-pairing at the 3rd anti-codon position. The record is from RNAcentral. Lineage: Eukaryota; Fungi; Ascomycota; Eurotiomycetes; Eurotiales; Aspergillaceae.